RNAcentral lists this long non-coding RNA (299 nucleotides) under Elaeis guineensis (African oil palm). RNAcentral's name for it is "long non-coding RNA (EGUI_LNC032620)". The record is from RNAcentral. Lineage: Eukaryota; Viridiplantae; Streptophyta; Magnoliopsida; Arecales; Arecaceae.
CUGAUAAGUUACUGAAUUAUAUUAUGUGAAUGGUUAUACUUUUAUGGAUGUAUAUUACAUAAAAAGAAGCAUGAUUUUGAUGACAGCUAAUGCAGAAAAUGGAGGAUAUUUAUGGUACAUAGAUGGAGACAACUUGCAUACAGCCAGUGUGGCUUUAAGGUAAAGCAAGACCAUUUCUCUGUUAUGAAGAUUUUUUAUUGACCACUGCAAAUCGCACUGCAGUUUUAUCAGAUGAUUUUUUUUCAACAUUUAGAAGCAUGUGUAUGAAGAAAAACUGAAACUUAAACGUGCCACAUGCA